UUGCUCACUUUGGCAACACAUACACUAAAUUUGGAAUGAUACAAAGAUUAGCAUGGCCUCUGCACAAGGGUGACACACAAACUCAUGAAGCUUUACAUAUGUUA
Sorex araneus (European shrew) is the source of this 104-nucleotide small nuclear RNA. NCBI's taxonomy places the organism in Eukaryota, Metazoa, Chordata, Mammalia, Eulipotyphla, Soricidae. The record is from Ensembl.